RNAcentral lists this ribosomal RNA (431 nucleotides) under uncultured bacterium. Its description in RNAcentral is "bacterial SSU rRNA". It matches the Rfam family "Bacterial small subunit ribosomal RNA", at positions 28 to 504 of the family's 1533-position model. The record is from RNAcentral.
GAUGAACGCUGGCGGUAUGCUUUACACAUGCAAGUCGUACGAGAGUUUUUAACUCAAGUGGCGGACGGGUGAGUAACACGUAAGAAUUUGCCUUUAGGAGGGGGACAACAACUGGAAACGGUUGCUAAUACCCCAUAUGCUUUCGAGUGAAAUGGAUUUUUCCGCCUAGAGAGAAGCUUGCGGCUGAUUAGCUUGUUGGUGGGUAAAGGCCUACCAAGGCGACGAUCAGUAUCUGGUUUGAGAGGACGAUCAGACACACUGGAACUGAGACACGGUCCAGACUCCUACGGAGGCAGCAGUGGGGAAUUUUCCGCAAUGGCGAAAGCCUGACGGAGCAAUACCGCGUGAGGGAUGACGGCCUAUGGGUUGUAAACCUCUUUUCAGGUAGGAAUCAAAUGACGUGUACCUGAAGAUAAGCAUCGGCUAACUCG